UCAAGAAACUUCCACAAUGGGCGAAAGCCUGAUGGAGCGACGUCGCGUGAUGGACGAAGUGCUUCGGCACGUAAACAUCUUUUAUGUGGGAUGAAAUUAUUGACAGUACCACAUGAAUAAGGGGCUCCUAACUCUGUGCCAGCAGGAGCGGUAAUACAGAGGCCCCAAGCGUUAUCCGGAAUCACUGGGCGUAAAGGGUGUCGAGGCGGUUGUAUUAGUCGUUCGUAAAAUCUACGAGCUUAACUUGUAGGCGGCGAACGAAACGGUACGACUUGAGGUUUGGAGAGGUGCGUGGAACUCACGGUGUAGGGGUGAAAUCCGUUGAUAUCGUGGGGAACACCAAAGGCGAAGGCAGCGCAUUGGCCAAAAUCUGACGCUCACACACGAAAGCUAGGGUAGCGAAGAGGAUUAGAUACCCAAGUAGUCCCUGAGCGGGCUGGCAAGGCGCAU
Molecule: ribosomal RNA, 450 nt
Filed under: uncultured bacterium
Lineage: Bacteria
Description: bacterial SSU rRNA
Rfam family: Bacterial small subunit ribosomal RNA
Source: RNAcentral